Long non-coding RNA from Gallus gallus (chicken), 997 nucleotides. RefSeq lists it as uncharacterized. NCBI's taxonomy places the organism in Eukaryota, Metazoa, Chordata, Aves, Galliformes, Phasianidae. The record is from RefSeq and is a predicted model, not a curated record. The transcript is spliced from 2 exons.
CUCGCAGGAGAGUUUUCAAGCUGUAUUUCACAUACAUUUGCUAUUCUCCCAAACUAUUUGUCUUCUAUCACAUUAAAUCUUUUGAUUUUUGAUCACUGAGAUGAAAGAAUGAAUGUAUUAGCAACAGUUACUUUUAUUUCAGUUGCAUUUUUCUGCUGUUCCCACCCACCACCCCCAAACUCAAAAUAGCUAUCACUAGCAGAAGCAAGUGAAAUAUUUUUCUUCAGUAUUUUAUAGCACAAAAAUGUUUCCUGGCAACACAACAACAAGAGAACCCCCAGGCAGGAUUAAUGCCUCAGUCUGCUGAGUACUUUACAAACAUAAGAAGAGACACUUCCUUGCACCGAAGAGUUUCCAAUCCAAAAAAAAAAAAAAUGAGGGAAUGGAUGAAGGAUAGGAAAGCAAGGUGCUCUGCUUUUAACAGCAGGGAGAUUUGUGGAAGAAAAAUCAAAGUUUUACUGAGAUUUUUGUAAUUAUAAAAUCUUCCAUAAUUAAUAAUACAUAUCUAGGUGGCAAAAAAAAUUAUUUAGAUUGUAAUGAUAUUAACAUGGAAUCUUACAGUUGUGAAACCUAAUAUUUAAGACUGAGUUUUCAAGGGGAAAAUAAAAAUUGGUAAUAAGAAUUGUCAUUAUUACUUCCUUAAAUAAUUUUGUGUACGUGGUCAGACUUACAUUUUUCCUAUUAUUUUGAUAUCUGCUCUUAGAUCUGUAAGAUACAAACUACAGAGAAAGGAUCAAGCCUUAUUUGGGUAGAGAUGCCAAAAAGAACAAAUGUCAAAGAAAAAAGAGAAAGAACAAAGGAGGCAAAUGGAAAGGAAACAACAUAUGAGGAAGAAACUUCAGCAAGAAAAGAAGGGAAGUCAGAGCAGGAAGGUGCAUACUAUACUGAAAACCUGCUUUGAAACCUCAAGAUAAAUUCUCAAUUCUACUGAUUAAAUGAAGUUUUUGUGUGCCCCAAAUUUUCAGUAAAAGUGACUAAUAAAAUUAACUUCAAAGAA